Long non-coding RNA from Arabidopsis thaliana (thale cress), 310 nucleotides. RefSeq annotates it as other RNA. Lineage: Eukaryota; Viridiplantae; Streptophyta; Magnoliopsida; Brassicales; Brassicaceae. The record is from RefSeq. The transcript has a single exon.
AAAAGAUAGAGAGAGAGAGAGAAGCUACAGAGAGAACAUUUAGAUGAGAGAAGCGAACGGUGAGAAUAUUUAUGAGAUUGAGAAAGAGGCAGAUGGGUUUCUCUUAAUGAUGGUGAUGUACAGUUGUUGUUUCUAGCAGGAAUAUUUAUGAACCAAGACUUUAAUAAAAGAAUUAAACAAAAACAAAACAAAAAACGAAACCCUAGAUUCUGUUGUCACAAAGCUACCGAGAAGAUCGAACAACAAUCGUCUCUCGAGAGGUGGGAUUUUGCUGGAUGGGUUUAAUCAGAUGAGAGGAGAGAUCAAAGUU